This 420-nucleotide ribosomal RNA is filed under the name bacterium. RNAcentral's name for it is "partial 16S ribosomal RNA". It matches the Rfam family "Bacterial small subunit ribosomal RNA", at positions 355 to 776 of the family's 1533-position model. The record is from RNAcentral.
UGGGGGAUAUUGCACAAUGGGCGAAAGCCUGAUGCAGCGACGCCGCGUGGGGGAUGAAGGCUUUCGGGUUGUAAACCUCUUUCGCUAUCGAACAAGGCCCGCUUAGGGUGGGUUGAGGGUAGGUGGAGAAGAAGCGCCGGCUAACUACGUGCCAGCAGCCGCGGUAAUACGUAGGGCGCGAGCGUUGUCCGGAAUUAUUGGGCGUAAAGGGCUUGUAGGCGGCUUGUUGCGCCUGCUGUGAAAACGCGGGGCUUAACUUCACGCGUGCAGUGGGUACGGGCAGGCUUGGGUGUGGUGGGGGUGACUGGAAUUCCAGGUGUAGCGGUGGAAUGCGCAGAUAUCUGGAGGAACACCGAUGGCGAAGGCAGGUCACUGGGCCAUUACUGACGCUGAGGAGCGAAAGCAUGGGUAGCGAACAGG